RNA transcript from Pleuronectes platessa (European plaice), 5359 nucleotides. It is a transcript of the gene named methyl-CpG binding domain protein 2, with no coding region annotated. The record is from RefSeq and is a predicted model, not a curated record. The transcript has 8 exons. NCBI's taxonomy places the organism in Eukaryota, Metazoa, Chordata, Actinopteri, Pleuronectiformes, Pleuronectidae.
GUGUGCGUGUGUGUGUGUGUGUGUGUGUGUGUGUGUGAGUGUGUGACGUCACAGCCUGCCGUUGGUCGAGCUCAGUUCGGAUCAGUUCGGAUCAGCCGUUGUUUCCUCCGGAGAUAAACGGAUCUUAACCCGCCUCGUCCCGGUUCUGACCCGGGGAACUUUUAACCCGACAAGUGUCAGGAAGCUCCGGCGGAGGGAGGGAGCGGAGCCGCUGUUCUGUCAACGUAACGUCCGUAACGUUCCGGCUGCUCCGGCGGCUGGUCACCGUCUGUCCGGAGCUGCUCCACCGGGGAUCGGACACCGAGGCCGAGGGUCGAUCGUUCCGAUGGAGAGGAAGAGGACGGACUGUCCCGCUCUGCCGCCCGGGUGGAAGAAGGAGGAAGUGACCAGGAAGUCCGGGCUGAGUGCCGGGAAGAGCGACGUCUACUACUACAGUCCCACAGGGAAGAAGUUCAGGAGUAAGCCACAGCUGUCCCGUUACCUUGGCAACACGGUGGAUCUGGGAUGUUUCGACUUCCGGUCGGGGGGGAUGACGGGGGGGAUGACGGGGGGGAAACUUCAGAAGAACAAACAGAGGCUUCGUCACGACUCGCUCAGCCUGACCAAGGGAGGAAAGACAGACCUGAACACGUCUCUGCCAAUCAGACAGACAGCCUCCAUCUUCAAACAGCCCAUUACCAAGGUCACUAACCAUCCAGGAAACAAGGUGAAGACGGACACGCAAUCACACACAGACACACACACGCAGAGAUCGUCUGAGCAGCCGAGACAGCUGUUUUGGGAGAAGAGGUUGAAAGGUCUCCGGUCCUCAGACGUCACAGAGGAACUUCUCAGGACCAUGGACUUGCCCAAAGGGCUGCAGAGUGUCGGUCCGGACUCCGGCGACGACACCCUUCUGUCGGCCCUCGCCAGCGCCCUGCACAUGAGCUCUUCUCCCAUCACGGGACAGAUGUCUGUGGCUGCAGGGAAGAACCCGACCAUCUGGCUGAACACGUCGCAGCCGCUCUGCAAAGCCUUCACAGUCACUGACGAGCACAUCAGGGAGCAGGAGCUGAAAGUGCACCAGGCCAGGAGGAGCCUGGAGGAGGCGCUCAUGGCCGACGGUUUGGCUCGGGCCACUGAAAAUACCAGGGAGGUGUUCGAGGGGAAAACGGCCUGAGGACGGACGGUUCUCCAUGUGAGAACUAAAGACUGAGUCAGUGUCUCUGGACAUGUUCUGGAUCUUCUCCUGCAGCCUCCUGGUAGAAUGUGUGUAACAUGUCAGAGUCCAUGUGAGGAACCAGCAGGAUAAUGUGUGGAAGCUUCCCAGUGAGCGAGUGGACGUGUGGAUGAGGUUUCUAACACGUGACGUGAAACUGGAAGAACACAAACAUCUCAGGAUGAAGAAGAGGAGCCGGACACGUAGAAGACGAAGACGUCCACUUGGAAACACGAGGAGAUUCCAGAUCUUCUGGUGAUGAGGGCCGAGCCGGUGUGGAUGAGAUGUAAACAACAACACUGAUCUUUCCACAGCAGAGUUUAUACGUCAUGUCCCGCCUCCUGCUGCUCUACAGGCUCCGCCCCUGCUGCUCUACAGGCUCCGCCCCUGCUGCUCUACAGGCUCCGCCCCUCGCCUGGUUGUUCCCACAUGUUCCUGUUUGAACGAGUCGGACCCGACAACCUGCUGCUGCUUCACAAACACUGACUACACAACAUUGAGUUCAUGUUUGAGAACAUUGUAUUCAUGAGUUACUAAAACUUGACGUGAGACUCUGAGCUGCUUUAAAUGUCUUGAUCCACUGUGUGUGUGUGUGUGUGUGUGUGUGUGUGUGUGUGUGUGUGUGUGUGUGUGUGUGUGUGUGUGUGUGUGUGUGUGUGUGUGUGUGUGUGUGUGUGUGUGUGUGUGUGUGUGUUGAAUGCUGAUGGGAUUGUCUGCGUCUGAUUGAAACUCAGUCAUGCAGCAGGCUAACACACUGUGUGUGAUUGAUGGGCUGUUGGCUUGUGUGUGUGUGUGUGUGUGUGUGUGUGUGUGUGUGUGUGUGUGUGUGUGUGUGUGUGUGUGUGUGUGUGUGUGUGUGUGUGUGUGUGUGUGUGUGUGUGUGUGUGUGUGUGUGUGUGUGUGUGUGUGUGUGUGUCCAUCCAUCAUCCCUGCUUCCUCGCUGCUUAUCCAGAUCAGGCUUGCGGACCAGACAGUGAAUUUACUGCAGAGAUAAUAAUACUUUGUUUGAAUGAAUAUCACUUAAGUGACGGUUUGUCACAGAAACUUGUUUUUAGGUUAUUAUUUAAUUUUAAACUGUAAAAUAUCAAACCUCAGUUACAUUUCUUUGUCACGACAGAUCAAUAACAACAUCUUCUGAAUCAUUGAUCAUUUUUUCCAUCUGCAUCUUUUGGUCAAUGUAUUUGUGUUUUACUCUUAAUGGCGUCCAUGUUAGUCGAGCUCUACUGAGCCUGCUGGUCAGACAGCAGCAUCAUCACUACCAUCUGACAUCAGGGCUGCGUUCAGCUCAGUGUUCAGAGGAAACAAGUCGUUCAUCAGGAACCUGAAGAAACUCAGAGUGUGUGUGUGUGGGGGGGGGGGGGCGAUGCUUGCUCUAAAAGCCGACUAACGGAGGUUUUUUUAAGCACAUUUGUUUUGUGUGGAGGGAAAAUCUUCCAUUAAUGCAGAUUUAUGCAGAUUGGCUGGAUGGAAGUCGUUUGGGCGAAAAGAGCCGCUGAGAGUUGAGGAGUGAUUACUAAUGGGUUUUUAUAGCUGGACCAGAGAGAGAGAGAGAGAGGGCAGCGGCCUGUGUGUGAGUGUGAGUGUGUGUGUGUGUGUGUGUGUGUGUGUGUGUAGCUGUUGAAACAAUCCUUUUAAAUCCUUGCAGGAAUCUCAGACCGCUCGGUUUCCUGCUCAUGAGUCUUGUUGCCGCUUCCUAUUUAUUUAUUUAUGUUGGUUUUCGGCUGAGUGGGUUCGGUCUCGUUCUCUUUAUGGUUCGUUGUUGGAAACAUGAAACAGUAGGUGUCUGCAAACUCCUGGUGCAGCUUCCACUCAACACAAAUACAACAAAGUCCACAAAAUAUCAAGUAGUUUUGUCACAGUGUUGAAAUAGUAUUUUACUUGUAAAUGUGCUGCGCUCAGAAUGUUGCUGUAAAUAAGUUCAUCAUGAAAAUAUAAAAGUCAGAGAUGCAGCCUUUAAAACGAUUUAGUGAUUGUUUUUUACAUGAACACAGAUCAUAGUCAAACAUUUGAUGUCUAGCAUCGAGUGGAAAUAAAGUUUAACGAUGCAAAGAAGCUAAAAUAUCUCAGAUAUGAACGCUGCCAUCUUGUGGUGACAUCAGUUAUAAUCUGUGCAGUAGUGAUGGGGAUCCAGGACAUUUGUCGUGACCUUAGCGAGCCGCCAUGUUGUCCAUCUGUAUCUACAGCUCACAGUGCUGAGACAUUUUACAACUCGUCUUUCCUGAGGAAUAAAGGAAUUACAUGAAAAACCAGAAGUUAAGACUAAUCAGCUCAGAUUGUUUUUCUGGCUCCAACGUCUCAUCCACAUGAAUCUACUGUGCUUUGUGUUAUAAUGUAUAAUGUGCAUUGAUUUGAUGACUUGUAAUGUGCAGUCUUUUUCAUGUGGGGAUCACUUCAAUGACCCUCAUCAUUCAAUCGACCUUUAUUCAUACAGCGUGCACAGAAACAUUAGAAACAUUUAUUGUUGUCGCCCCAGGAUCAAAUACACUAUUUAGACAAAUAAUUGUGACUCCUACACAUUACACCUACAGGAGCUUUUAUGACUUAUUCUAAAUCCAUAGGCAUUAAUAUGGAGCUGGUCCCCUCUUUGCAGCAGCUUCACUCUUCUUCAAGACUCUGGAUUGUGUCUGUGGGAAUUUCUGCUCCUUCCUCCAGAAGAUAUUUGUGAUGUCAGAUGCAGAUGCUGGACCAGAGGGCUCCGACUCUGUUCUAGUUCAGUGAUUGGGGUGAGCUCAGGGCUCUGUGGGGCCAGUCCAGCCUGGAUGGACCUGAGCAGAGUCCUGGAACACAACACUUCCACAAACAAAGUUGGAACCAUAGAACUGUCUGAAGCAGUAAGAUUUAACUUCACUGGAACUCAGGGUCCAACCAAUUGGACUGAAUGAAACACCUGAGUUUGCUGACGUGUGUCCCGAUACCUUUGUCCAUAUAGUGUCUCUUUUAAAAGAAGUAUCAGUGGAUUCAUCUUCAGAUCUUGCACCAAAGAGUUUCAUCUAAGAGGAGCCAAACAUUUUAAAGACCUUUUUGCCUCCAGCUCUGUUCUAAAUUUAGGAACCUUAAGAAUGACUCACGUCUGAGUUCUGCUGCUGCAGUGAAGAAAUGUUCCAUGUUUGCUUCUGUCGUCCAGGUCAGAGUUAGAACCUCAGCAAAUUAAAAUACGCUACAUGAAUAUUCGGUUCUAACACAUGAACUCAGUAACAUGUUGUUUCUGGACAUGUUGUGUAGUCAGUGUUUGUGAAGCAGCAGCAGCAGGUUGUCGGGUCCGACUCGUUCAAACAGAAACAUGUGGGAAAAUCCAGGCGAGGGGCGGAGCCUGUAGAGCAGCAGGAGGCGGAGCCUGUAGAGCAGCAGGAGGCGGGACAUGACGUAUAAACUCUGCAGUGGAAAGAUCCGUGUUGUUGUUUACAGCUCAUCCACACCGGCGUCGGCCCUCAUCACCAGAAGAUCUGGAAUCUCCUCGUCAGGAACAUGUCAGGAACAUUUGAGGAUCAUUUGAGGAACACUUCAGCAACACAUCAGGAACAUAGCUCCUCUGUUCACCAGCCUCAGGUUGAUCCUCAUCUUUAUCUUAACCCAGAUGACAAACCUAAACUUAAACCCGACCUUCACUGACUUAAACCUCGCCAGCAGAGAUCUGUUGUGUUGGAGGUUUCAGCUUCGUUUGAAAGAAACCUUGUGAUGAUGUCACACUGGACCCGUCUCUCGGCCUCGGGGGACUAAAGUGAUUUUUCUAGAGCAACAACAGGAAGCACCAGCAACAGCUAACGUAGGACAGCAACAGACCCGGUCACAGGAACAAGCAGCAAUAAGAGAAGAUCUUCUUCAGCUCAAAGUUUGAAUCCCCUGUGGCUUCUUAUCUCAACUCGUAUCAAGGUCCAUGCUGUCUUUUCUGUUUAUUUAAUGCAGAUUGAAAAUAUCAAUAAUAAAAAAUGAAAUACAGAGACACUCUCAUGGAACCCAAAGAAAGUCAGGAUGCAAACUGCUGGACAGCUUUUGCUAACUCUUUAAAUUCUCCAGUGUUUGCGGUGUCAUCGUCUUCAGGGGUUUUCAUUAAAUGAUUAUGAAUGACUUCAGAACAACAGAUUAUUUAAAACAGAUUUUAUACCUGAACUUUCAGUACGUGUACAUUUCUCUGACUGGAGGAAAUAAACAUUUAUAUUCACA